RNAcentral lists this ribosomal RNA (490 nucleotides) under Nannodiella ravella. RNAcentral's name for it is "partial 16S ribosomal RNA". It matches the Rfam family "Bacterial large subunit ribosomal RNA", at positions 1845 to 2598 of the family's 2925-position model. Lineage: Eukaryota; Metazoa; Mollusca; Gastropoda; Neogastropoda; Conidae. The record is from RNAcentral.
AUAUGAAGUCGGGCCUGCCCAGUGAAGUGUUUUAACGGCCGCGGUACUCUGACCGUGCAAAGGUAGCAUAAUCAUUUGCCUUAUAAUUGAAGGCUGGAAUGAAUGGUUUGACAAGAAUACUACUGUCUCUAGGAAAUUUAUUAGAAUUUUAUUUUUAGGUGAAAAAGCCUAGAUAUUAUUGAAAGACAAGAAGACCCUAUCGAGCUUAAAAGAAAUAGAUAAAAUAUUAUUUUAUAUUUUUAGAUAAAUGUUUACUAAAGAUUUUGGUUGGGGCAACUAAGGAGUAGAUAAAGCCUCCUUUUUUUGUAAAAUUUGUUGAUUUUGAUCCAGGAGUAUCCUGAUUGAAAGAAUUAGUUACCGUAGGGAUAACAGCAUUAUCUUUUUUGAGAGCUCUUAUCGAAAAAAAGGUUUGUGACCUCGAUGUUGGACCAGAAUGUCCUAAAGAUGCAGAAGUCUUUAAGGGUUGGUCUGUUCGACCAUUAAAAUUCUA